This 498-nucleotide ribosomal RNA is filed under the name uncultured bacterium. Its description in RNAcentral is "partial 16S ribosomal RNA". It matches the Rfam family "Bacterial small subunit ribosomal RNA", at positions 30 to 523 of the family's 1533-position model. The record is from RNAcentral.
AUUGAACGCUGGCGGCAUGCCUUACACAUGCAAGUCGAACGGUAACAGGUCUUCGGAUGCUGACGAGUGGCGAACGGGUGAGUAAUACAUCGGAACGUGCCUAGUAGUGGGGGAUAACUACUCGAAAGAGUGGCUAAUACCGCAUGAGAUCUACGGAUGAAAGCAGGGGAUCGCAAGACCUUGUGCUACUAGAGCGGCCGAUGGCAGAUUAGGUAGUUGGUGGGAUAAAAGCUUACCAAGCCGACGAUCUGUAGCUGGGCUGAGAGGACGAUCAGCCACACUGGGACUGAGACACGGCCCAGACUCCUACGGGAGGCAGCAGUGGGGAAUUUUGGACAUUGGGCGAAAGCCUGAUCCAGCAAUGCCGCGUGCAGGAUGAAGGCCUUCGGGUUGUAAACUGCUUUUGUACGGAACGAAAAGCCCCGGGUUAAUACCCUGGGGUCAUGACGGUGCCGUAAGAAUAAGCACCGGCUAACUACGUGCCAGCCGCCGCCGUAA